GCUCUCAUAGCGCAAUUAGUUAGAGCGUCCGCUUAGUAAGCGAAGGUCUUGGGUUCGACUCUCAACAAGAGUA
RNAcentral lists this transfer RNA (73 nucleotides) under Nicotiana sylvestris (wood tobacco). It matches the Rfam family "tRNA". Rfam says of the family: Transfer RNA (tRNA) molecules are approximately 80 nucleotides in length. The record is from Rfam by way of RNAcentral. RNAcentral also lists the same sequence under 1 other name. Lineage: Eukaryota; Viridiplantae; Streptophyta; Magnoliopsida; Solanales; Solanaceae.